RNAcentral lists this ribosomal RNA (253 nucleotides) under uncultured bacterium. RNAcentral's name for it is "partial 16S ribosomal RNA". It matches the Rfam family "Bacterial small subunit ribosomal RNA", at positions 524 to 776 of the family's 1533-position model. The record is from RNAcentral.
UACGUAGGGACCGAGCGUUGUCCGGAAUCAUUGGGCGUAAAGAGCGUGUAGGCGGCCACUUAAGUCCUGCGUGAAAUCUUGCGGCUCAACCGCAAGCGGUCGUGGGAAACUGGGUGGCUAGAGUGCGGGAGAGGAGAGUGGAAUUCCUGGUGUAGCGGUGAAAUGCGCAGAUAUCAGGAAGAACACCCGUGGCUAAGGCGGCUCUCUAGUACGGUACUGACGCUGAGGAGCGAAAGCGUGGGGAGCGAACAGG